Brachypodium distachyon (stiff brome) is the source of this 125-nucleotide non-coding RNA. The record is from Rfam. NCBI's taxonomy places the organism in Eukaryota, Viridiplantae, Streptophyta, Magnoliopsida, Poales, Poaceae.
AACGUACUCCCUCCGUUUCAUAAUUCUUGUCGAAAUAUUACAUGCAUCUAGACAAUUUUUAGGAACAGAUACAUCCAUUUUUGGAUAAAUUGGAGACAAGAAUUAUGAAACGGAAGGAGUAUUAC